This 466-nucleotide ribosomal RNA is filed under the name uncultured bacterium. RNAcentral describes it as "partial 16S ribosomal RNA". It matches the Rfam family "Bacterial small subunit ribosomal RNA", at positions 28 to 507 of the family's 1533-position model. The record is from RNAcentral.
GACGAACGCUGGCGGCGUGCUUAACACAUGCAAGUCGAACGGAAAGGCCUCUUUCGGGGGGUACUCGAGUGGCGAACGGGUGAGUAACACGUGAGUAACCUGCCCUUGACUUUGGGAUAACUUCAGGAAACUGGGGCUAAUACCGGAUAGGAGCUCCUGCUGCAUGGUGGGGGUUGGAAAGUUUCGGCGGUUGGGGAUGGACUCGCGGCUUAUCAGCUUGUUGGUGGGGUAGUGGCUUACCAAGGCUUUGACGGGUAGCCGGCCUGGGGGGGUGACGGGCAAAAUGGGACUGGGAUACGGCCCAGACCCCUACCGGAGGCCGCAGGGGGGAAAAUUGCACCAAGGGUGGAAGCCCGAUGGCGGAAAGCCGGGGGCGGGGUGAACGGCCUCGGGUUGGAAACCGCGUUCGCUCAUGACGAAGCUUUGUGUGACGGUAGUGGGUAAAGAAGCACCGGCUAACUACGUG